This 542-nucleotide ribosomal RNA is filed under the name uncultured bacterium. RNAcentral describes it as "bacterial SSU rRNA". It matches the Rfam family "Bacterial small subunit ribosomal RNA", at positions 355 to 896 of the family's 1533-position model. The record is from RNAcentral.
UGAGGAAUAUUGGUCAAUGGACGGAAGUCUGAACCAGCCAAGUAGCGUGCAGGAUGACGGCCCUAUGGGUUGUAAACUGCUUUUGUAUGGGGAUAAAGUUAGGGACGUGUCCCUAUUUGCAGGUACCAUAUGAAUAAGGACCGGCUAAUUCCGUGCCAGCAGCCGCGGUAAUACGGAAGGUUCAGGCGUUAUCCGGAUUUAUUGGGUUUAAAGGGAGCGUAGGCUGGAGAUUAAGUGUGUUGUGAAAUGUAGACGCUCAACGUCUGACUUGCAGCGCAUACUGGUUUCCUUGAGUACGCACAACGUUGGCGGAAUUCGUCGUGUAGCGGUGAAAUGCUUAGAUAUGACGAAGAACUCCGAUUGCGAAGGCAGCUGACGGGAGCGCAACUGACGCUUAAGCUCGAAGGUGCGGGUAUCAAACAGGAUUAGAUACCCUGGUAGUCCGCACGGUAAACGAUGGAUGCCCGUUGUCAGGCUGUUUCAGCCUGGUGACCAAGCGAAAGCAUUAAGCAUCCCACCUGGGGAGUACGCCGGCAACGGUG